Molecule: ribosomal RNA, 555 nt
Filed under: uncultured Actinomycetes bacterium
Lineage: Bacteria; Bacillati; Actinomycetota; Actinomycetes
Description: bacterial SSU rRNA
Rfam family: Bacterial small subunit ribosomal RNA
Source: RNAcentral
AGUCUGGUGCCAGCAGCCGCGGUAAGACGUAGGGGGCGAGCGUUAUCCGGAUUCAUUGGGCGUAAAGGGCUCGUAGGUGGUUACGUAAGUCGGAUGUGAAAACUCGAGGCUCAACUUCGAGACGCCAUCCGAUACUGCGUUGACUUGAGUCCGGUAGAGGAGUGUGGAAUUCCUAGUGUAGCGGUGAAAUGCGCAGAUAUUAGGAGGAACACCUAUUGCGAAGGCAGCACUCUGGGCCGGUACUGACACUGAGGAGCGAAAGCGUGGGUAGCAAACAGGAUUAGAUACCCUGGUAGUCCACGCCGUAAACGGUGGGCACUAGAUGCGGGGACUUUCAACGGUUUCCGUGUCGUAGCUAACGCAUUAAGCGCCCCGCCUGGGGAGUACGGCCGCAAGGCUAAAACUCAAAGGAAUUGACGGGGGCCCGCACAAGCAGCGGAGCAUGUUGCUUAAUUCGAGGCAACGCGAAGAACCUUACCUAGGUUUGACAUGUACGGAAAAGCCACAGAGAUGUGGUGUCCUUCGGGGCCGUACACAGGUGGUGCAUGGCCGUUC